UCAGCUUCUGGAACGGCAGUAGGAUCAGAAAGAGUCGAAGGAGACGGUUCGAGCGCAGGCAGGCGGGGAUGGGUUUUCUGUCCAACCAAAAUCGGAUUACAGCAUUCCCUGACUCGACGAACCAUCUAGCGAUUCCAACUUCAUGUUCCCGAGUUGCAGAGAACAAUCCGAACUGAGGCAAUCUUUCCGGAUUCGCUCCGCCUUACAGCCUUGACAGACACCUUAGAAGGAGGCAAAAGACUCCCUUUCUAUCAAGCAAUAUUGAUUAGGAAGAUCCACUUUUUUUAGAAGAGGCGAGGCCCCUAGCGAUAGGAGGAAAGAAGAGUGGGUAUGCGGGCUUCUUUCGCUUGACAAAGAGGCUUUACCAGUCUUUGAACUGCGUCACCAAAGCGAUUCCUGUUGAUGCAACGAACUCUUUCUAUUCCACGAGCCCUUUCGAGAGAGUCUUCUUUCCGCUACUUUCUUUUUCCGGUCUUUUCUUCUUUCUAAAGAACCAGCGAUUUGAUACGUCGGUCUAGUCUCCUCAAAUAGCAAACGUCCGCUGAGAUCGAGAUGUCCCUUAAUUUAGUCGGUACGGUAAUAACGACCAAUUGCAUCACCAACUGGUCAAGUGCUCAGCCUGUCAAGGUCUCUGUCAGAAGCGAAAGUUUCAACCGAAAAUGGCUUAUCAAACUCAGGCAAUUUCAGCACCGGCUAGGGUCGAGCGCCAGCUCGGGGGGUAAGAUCCUAUCUGAAUGAGUAAGAGCUCGAACUUGGUGUAAGGGAAGGGCUAAAAGCCAUAUUGGCUCUAUAGCAGAAAAGGUCUUUCUUUCAUGGACUAGAUCCCAGCAGACAGCGACCCCGGAUCUUAACGCCCUCUGGCCCCUCAUUUCUGCAGUGGAGUUUCCAGCUAAUGGUCCCCCGGAUAGGGUAGUUUGGACUAAAGAACCUUCAGGCCGAUUCUCCUUUAGAUCUGCCUGGGA
RNAcentral lists this long non-coding RNA (962 nucleotides) under Phoenix dactylifera (date palm). RNAcentral describes it as "long non-coding RNA (PDAC_LNC016749)". The record is from RNAcentral. Lineage: Eukaryota; Viridiplantae; Streptophyta; Magnoliopsida; Arecales; Arecaceae.